Molecule: long non-coding RNA, 576 nt
Filed under: Homo sapiens (human)
Lineage: Eukaryota; Metazoa; Chordata; Mammalia; Primates; Hominidae
Description: non-protein coding lnc-DIRAS2-9:1
Source: RNAcentral
CACUACACACACCAUGUACUACACGGACACUACCCACAUCACACACACCACAGACUACAUACACACUACACACACAACACACUACACACAUAACACACUACACACACCAUGUACUACACACAUCACAUACACCACACACACAAAAUACAUACACACCACACACAGUACACACUACACACAUCACACAUACUACACACAUAUCACACACAAACUACAUACACACCACACACCAUACUAAACACAUGCUACACUACAUACACACUACACACACAAAACACACACGAAACACACCACACAACUACAUGCACACUACACACAUCACACACACUACACCACACACAUACACCCCCAUACUACAUGCCCACUACAUGCAUGCCACACAUAUGGACACAUACCACACAUGCACUAAACGCACACCACACACACACAAACUACAUACACACUACACACACAACACACUACACACAUCUUACACACACUGCACACGUCAUACACAAACUACACACACACUGCACACAUACUACACACAGUAUACACAAACUACAUACACAGUACACACAACACACUACGUGCAGC